UACGUAGGGUGCGGGCGUUGUCCGGAUUUAUUAGGCGUAAAGGGCUCGUAGGCGGCUUGUCGCGUCGGGAGUGAAAGCCCGCUGCUUAACGGCGGGUUUGCUUUCGGUACGGGCAGGCUGGAGUACGGCAGGGGAGACUGGAAUACUUGGUGUAGCAGUGAAAUGCGUAGAUAUCAAGUGGAACACCAGUGGCGAAGGCGAGUCUCUGGACAUUUCCUGACGCUGAGGCACGAAAGCCAGGGGAGCAAACGGG
Molecule: ribosomal RNA, 253 nt
Filed under: uncultured bacterium
Lineage: Bacteria
Description: partial 16S ribosomal RNA
Rfam family: Bacterial small subunit ribosomal RNA
Source: RNAcentral